This 243-nucleotide long non-coding RNA is filed under the name Elaeis guineensis (African oil palm). RNAcentral describes it as "long non-coding RNA (EGUI_LNC046318)". Lineage: Eukaryota; Viridiplantae; Streptophyta; Magnoliopsida; Arecales; Arecaceae. The record is from RNAcentral.
CAUGUCUGAAGUUUGUUAAGUUUAUGGGUCUCACCAAGUGGAUGAAGGAAGUGGAGUGGUGAGAUGGCCUGCCACUUGUUGCUAGUUAGUGAAUAGAAGGCUCUAAAACUUCUUGAUGUAGUCAUAAAAGGCCAGGUGGUAGAGGUUGGGCGGUCGUUUCAUCACUUUCUCUCGAGGAUAGGCAUUGGGCUGCUAUUGGGUUGCCAGGAUCAUGAUGGAUGGGUCAUCUUUGGGUAUAUCAAU